Molecule: RNA transcript, 2540 nt
Organism: Pomacea canaliculata
Lineage: Eukaryota; Metazoa; Mollusca; Gastropoda; Architaenioglossa; Ampullariidae
Exons: 10
Source: RefSeq, a predicted model, not a curated record
GCCAUGGCGCCACUCGUUCACGUACCCGUACCCGUACCUGAAGCCGUCUCGUUAGCGUCUUAACUUUUGUAUUUGCAGUCGGCGUCACACUCAGUUGUCACUGGUACUGUAAUUAUGUGACAGUACAUUGGCAAUGGACAGUGAGGACAGGUAAGUGACAGUCAAUGACAGACAGGUGUCGCUGCAGUCAAAGUGUACAGGUGGCGGGAAGGUCGAGACUCCAGUGACUUGCACGACACGUGACCUUACCUGGCACACAGCCGGCGACACGAGGUCCGGGUAGACACGGGUAGACAGGCGAUGUGACCACAGACAGGAAACAUCUAGCGAAUCAGUGAACCUCAUACUGACAGGACCUGCAGCUCUGACAGUGGAGUUUGUCACCUGCGACAUUCACACGUUAAUCGUCUUCCUGGUCCAGCGGUGCCUUGACCCUGCUCACCUGUACUACGUAUGGCGACAACAGGUGACACACAUAGCUUCCAGCUGAACUUGCUUCUUCUGCUGUGUGGCGUAUGGGGAACACAAGGAAUUAGGAUAAUCAACUGUAACAACAACAAGGUAGAAAUAUUUGAAGACUCACCUGCUCCAGUCACGUGUGGAGACAUCCCUGGUACAUCCGAUGUUGUCUGGCGACUAGGAGACGGAGUCAACAUCGGAGAGUGUAAAGCUGACGGUACCUGCACCACUGCCUUAUACAACGACUACAGACUCAGCAGGUUACCGCAGUCCACGGAGAGUCAGCUGACCCUUGUCCCUGAUUACCGACGUCACGCGGGUGUCACGGUCGUGUGUCAGGACAGAAACAGUGGCUCAAUAGUCCCAGCAUCCUGUACUCUCGUCAUCAGACGUCACUCUGAGCUCAGUGAGUGUCACGUGACCACCAACCCUGUGGACGGGACUGUGUCAGGUUCAUGUCGUGUACAACAAGCUUUCUCCUCUGAUAACAUCUACACCUGUACAUGGACACGGAAUGAUGGUCAGCAGACAUUUGGAGGGUUGGAUGCCAGUCGUGAGCUGUGUUCGUUCACACAAGCUCUGCCACAAGCCGGGGGACUGUACACCUACAGCAUUUCUGUGUCUCCUCCUGCUACUACAGCCUUUUCUCAGCAACUGACACUGGGGGCAGGAAAUGUCAGUGUUGUCUCGACAACAGACACCGUAUUCAUCAUCGCCGGCUCUCAUCGGACCAAUCGUCGGCGGCAUUGUCGCUGCGGUUGUCAUUGUCAUCAUUGCCUGUUUGCUUGCUAUUUUCAUCAGGCGACAAAGACGACACUUAAAAAAUGAAACAGCUCAAUAUCUGAGAGAAAGUGAGGAGGUGAUUGAAGAACCGCCACAUUUAACUCCCCCUACUGAUAACCAUGGUUACGAAGAUGUCCACAUCAGAAGCUCAAAUGAGGAAACUGCAACAACACAGCUGAGAGAGGCGGACAUGUAUGAGAACACACAGAGACUCGCAGACCAAACCUACGACACACCGGGCAGGGACAUGAUGAACAUCAGUACUCAGAUCUUCAGGUGAAGGCCACGUAGUGAGUCAAUGGCACACACAAAGGCAUGUCGAACAUCAUCAGGCCAGCAUCAUCGACGUCAGUGUUUAAUCAAAAUGUGACAAUCGUUGUGAAAACAAUGUUUUCGUAAACUUCAUCUUUUCAUUAUUUUUCUUGGUUUUAACAAAACUCAUUGUUUUCAUAGCGGAUUUUUAAUAAUUUACUGCUAAAAAUGGAUUGGAGCUUAACUCAAUCGUCAAUUGGAGUGCUAUAUAUUUUUUUGUUUAAUUUUUUAUUUUAAACACUGUUGGGUUUUUUUUAAUCCUUACAGUACUAAUUCCUUCAAAUACUAAGAGGAACUUUCUAUCAGUACAGAAUAUAUUGAACAUAUAUGAGUUCUAUAGAAAUUGUAUCGGGCAAAUUUAUUUUCAGCUGCGUGUCUGCUGGACCUGCGCGAAGCAAGAGUGUGACACCAACACUAUAGCCCUAUGCUAGUGAUCACAUGACAACGUGUUAAUUCGUGAAAUCAAAGUAACUAAAGUUAUAAUAUAUAAUAUUUGCUGAUCAGAGAUCCUGAGGUUGAUAUGGAAACGGGAAAAGGAUGAGCAAAGACUUAGGAUGCCUGUCUGUGUGUGUGUGUGUGUGUUAUUUAUGACACAGUGUUGUCUUAUUAACUAACGAUUGUUGACGGGGAGGAUGAAGCUGAAGAAGGAGAUACUAUUACAUUCCUUUUUGUUGUCAUACACCAUACUCACACUAUGAAACGUGUGCAAAAUAAAUAAAUAACAUAAGCGACGGUUAACAUCAUUCGCAACACAUGACGCAAACAUGUAGAAAAAUGUAUAGUUUUGAGUUAGUCUUUAAUAUGAUGUUUAAUGUUAGUUUUAAGGGUCUAAUAAAAAGUAGAAAAAAUCUUAGAAGAUGCCUAUUAUAUAUUGAUGAUUUAAUUUGUUAAAAAAAGCAUUGAAAUAUUUAUCCAUCUAUUUUUGACAUGUCUACCUAAAUAUGACUCCGUGUACAUUACAUACCAUUGCCUGGUCUAACAAACAA